This 301-nucleotide ribosomal RNA is filed under the name uncultured bacterium. RNAcentral's name for it is "partial 16S ribosomal RNA". It matches the Rfam family "Bacterial small subunit ribosomal RNA", at positions 509 to 808 of the family's 1533-position model. The record is from RNAcentral.
CAGUCGCCACGGGAAUACAGAGGGUGCGAGCGUUAAUCGGAUUUACUGGGCGUAAAGCGUGCGUAGGCGGCUUCUUAAGUCGGAUGUGAAAUCCCUGAGCUUAACUUAGGAAUUGCAUUCGAUACUGGGAAGCUAGAGUAUGGGAGAGGAUGGUAGAAUUCCAGGUGUAGCGGUGAAAUGCGUAGAGAUCUGGAGGAAUACCGAUGGCGAAGGCAGCCAUCUGGCCUAAUACUGACGCUGAGGUACGAAAGCAUGGGGAGCAAACAGGAUUAGAUACCCUGUAGUCCCUGUCUCUUAUACA